AUGCUUGCUGCAGCAGCUCAUACACUAAAAUUGGAACAACAGAGAUUAGCAUGGCCCCUGCUCAAGGAUGACAUGCAAAUUCAUGAACUGUUCCAUAUUUUU
This 102-nucleotide small nuclear RNA is filed under the name Heterocephalus glaber (naked mole-rat). Lineage: Eukaryota; Metazoa; Chordata; Mammalia; Rodentia; Bathyergidae. The record is from RNAcentral.